UGGCAGAGGUUGUUAUGGCAAAGAGGAGAGGUCGCCCAAGGAAAGAAUUAGUACCGAUUUAUGCGAGUGAUGGAGUUUUCCCAAAAGCAGUUAACACUGUACCAAUGGUAGGUACCACUGUUCCAUUGAAAUCAGUUGAGAUAACUGUUCCAUUGCCUCAUGCAGUAAUAGAUCCAUAACCAUCUGGAGUCUCCCUGAUACCAACAGCAAAUGUGAGAAUUACUG
RNAcentral lists this long non-coding RNA (225 nucleotides) under Nicotiana benthamiana. Its description in RNAcentral is "long non-coding RNA (NBEN_LNC028923)". The record is from RNAcentral. Lineage: Eukaryota; Viridiplantae; Streptophyta; Magnoliopsida; Solanales; Solanaceae.